This 24-nucleotide non-coding RNA is filed under the name Arabidopsis thaliana (thale cress). The record is from RNAcentral. Lineage: Eukaryota; Viridiplantae; Streptophyta; Magnoliopsida; Brassicales; Brassicaceae.
ACCCUUGUGAGUAGUGGUUGAGCC